This 465-nucleotide ribosomal RNA is filed under the name Vreelandella stevensii. RNAcentral's name for it is "partial 16S ribosomal RNA". It matches the Rfam family "Bacterial small subunit ribosomal RNA", at positions 338 to 795 of the family's 1533-position model. The record is from RNAcentral. Lineage: Bacteria; Pseudomonadati; Pseudomonadota; Gammaproteobacteria; Oceanospirillales; Halomonadaceae.
CCUACGGGGGGCUGCAGUGGGGAAUAUUGGACAAUGGGCGAAAGCCUGAUCCAGCCAUGCCGCGUGUGUGAAGAAGGCCUUCGGGUUGUAAAGCACUUUCAGUGGGGAAGAAAGCCUUGGGGCUAAUACCCUCGAGGAAGGACAUCACGCACAGAAGAAGCACCGGCUAACUCCGUGCCAGCGGCCGCGGUAAUACGGAGGGUGCGAGCGUUAAUCGGAAUUACUGGGCGUAAAGCGCGCGUAGGCGGUCUGAUAAGCCGGUUGUGAAAGCCCCGGGCUCAACCUGGGAACGGCAUCCGGAACUGUCAGGCUAGAGUGCAGGAGAGGAAGGUAGAAUUCCCGGUGUAGCGGUGAAAUGCGUAGAGAUCGGGAGGAAUACCAGUGGCGAAGGCGGCCUUCUGGACUGACACUGACGCUGAGGUGCGAAAGCGUGGGUAGCAAACAGGAUUAGAUACCCGAGUAGUC